This 673-nucleotide ribosomal RNA is filed under the name Bacillus mycoides. RNAcentral describes it as "bacterial SSU rRNA". It matches the Rfam family "Bacterial small subunit ribosomal RNA", at positions 64 to 717 of the family's 1533-position model. Lineage: Bacteria; Bacillati; Bacillota; Bacilli; Caryophanales; Bacillaceae. The record is from RNAcentral.
GAGCGAAUGGAUUAAGAGCUUGCUCUUAUGAAGUUAGCGGCGGACGGGUGAGUAACACGUGGGUAACCUACCCAUAAGACUGGGAUAACUCCGGGAAACCGGGGCUAAUACCGGAUAAUAUUUUGAACUGCAUAGUUCGAAAUUGAAAGGCGGCUUCGGCUGUCACUUAUGGAUGGACCCGCGUCGCAUUAGCUAGUUGGUGAGGUAACGGCUCACCAAGGCAACGAUGCGUAGCCGACCUGAGAGGGUGAUCGGCCACACUGGGACUGAGACACGGCCCAGACUCCUACGGGAGGCAGCAGUAGGGAAUCUUCCGCAAUGGACGAAAGUCUGACGGAGCAACGCCGCGUGAGUGAUGAAGGCUUUCGGGUCGUAAAACUCUGUUGUUAGGGAAGAACAAGUGCUAGUUGAAUAAGCUGGCACCUUGACGGUACCUAACCAGAAAGCCACGGCUAACUACGUGCCAGCAGCCGCGGUAAUACGUAGGUGGCAAGCGUUAUCCGGAAUUAUUGGGCGUAAAGCGCGCGCAGGUGGUUUCUUAAGUCUGAUGUGAAAGCCCACGGCUCAACCGUGGAGGGUCAUUGGAAACUGGGAGACUUGAGUGCAGAAGAGGAAAGUGGAAUUCCAUGUGUAGCGGUGAAAUGCGUAGAGAUAUGGAGGAACACCAGUGGCG